ACUUGGCUCAAGGAAGAAUGAUGACGGUAACGUUGAGGAAUCAGCAUCGGCUAACUCCGUGCCAGCAGCCGCGGUAAUACGUCCAGAGGAUGCAAGCGUUAUCCGGAAUGAUUGGGCGUAAAGCGUCCGUAGGUGGCUGUGUGUGUCUAGUGUUAAAGAGUUUGGCUCAACCAAAUAAGAGGCGGUAGAACCUACACAGCUAGGAGUGCGUUCGGGGCAGAGGGAAUUCCUGGUGUAGCGGUGAAAUGCGUAGAGAUCAGGCCCAACACCGGUGGCGAAAGCGCUCUGCGG
RNAcentral lists this ribosomal RNA (291 nucleotides) under uncultured Hapalosiphon sp. RNAcentral's name for it is "partial 16S ribosomal RNA". It matches the Rfam family "Bacterial small subunit ribosomal RNA", at positions 432 to 731 of the family's 1533-position model. Lineage: Bacteria; Bacillati; Cyanobacteriota; Cyanophyceae; Nostocales; Hapalosiphonaceae. The record is from RNAcentral.